UCUGUGCAGUCUAUAAACUUGGUAGACACAAGCCCAGUGAAGAAACAAUGAGUCGGAUAUUGUUUUUUUUCAGUGGGCAUGGCUAAAUUGAUUUGAUUUAAAGUUAAGCCACCACACAGCAUGUUAAACCUAGAACUAUGGAAGUUCUUAGGCAUAUGUUCCAUGGACCUACAAAAAACUAUCUUGGACCCAUAUCGCGAACUGAGCAACAGUGUGAAAGCCUUGGCUUUAGAGGUGCGCGGGGGCAGCUGAAGCCCGACCAAAGGUGUCUUUCCUUGCACCGAGGGAGACAAAGAUGCGCACCCACACAGUUGCAUUGUGAAGCAGAGCACUGUGUAAUUUCUAUCAUUCAGUGCUUUUUUUCCCCCUCAAUCCAUCCCUUGGCCUGUGCCCCUCCCACGCACUGGUAGGAAAUGUAGCCUUAAAGCGCCACCACCCACAACAGAAGCAGAGAGAUCACAGUCAGCCACAGAAACAUCCCCCAUACAAUGUUUCCAAUCCCCUCACUUUCAUGUACAUGCAUCUGAAUUUGAGUGUGAUGCACAGCGACAUGUUUCAUGUCAGUGUCGUUGCAAAUCCCAAUACCCCAAAGCCUUGAGGUAUGGAGAUGAUACACUAUUAUUAAGCAAUCUUAUAUCCACACACAGGCAGAAGUAUACACACGCCACAAUGCAUGUAUUCAUGCUACUUUGUAGAGAAGGAUACAAGAGUUAAUGUCGCACUCGACAGGCCCAUGGCUCUUCCUUUCAAGACGUCUUGCAGAAUGUUGCUGAAGGGCCACAAUGGGUUACGAAACAAAGAUGCAUGACUAUUUACAAAGGCUGUGUAACAGCUCCACUUCACUGAAAGAACGCACUGCUCUGCUUGGUGGAGUUUGGAUUACAAUCCCAUGUGAUGUAUGAUU
Molecule: long non-coding RNA, 904 nt
Organism: Notolabrus celidotus (New Zealand spotty)
Lineage: Eukaryota; Metazoa; Chordata; Actinopteri; Labriformes; Labridae
Exons: 2
Source: RefSeq, a predicted model, not a curated record